GUCUAUCAGAAGUUAUUUAUAGUCUGGCCUGCUCACUGAUAAAUUAUUAAAGAGCCGCGGUAAUUUGACCGUGCAAAGGUAGCAUAAUCAUUAGUUCUUUGAUUGGGAACUUGUAUGAAUGGUCGGACAAAGGAAAAACUGUCUCUAACGCCAAAUUGAACUUGACUUUUAAGUGAAAAGGCUUAAAUACUUCAGGGGGACGAUAAGACCCUAUAAAGCUUUAUAGAUUUGUAGGAUAUAAGUUAAUUAAAAGAUAAAAUUUUAUUCUUAUAAAUAUAUUAAGUUGGGGCGACUAAGGUAUAAUUUCCAGUAACUGAUUGAAGAUAAAGCAAAGUUAGUUGGUUGAAGUGGUAGUUGAUCCUUUUUAAAGAUUAAAGAUUAAGUUACUUUAGGGAUAACAGCGUAAUUUUUUCUGAGAGUCCGUAUCGAAGAAAAAGUUUGCGACCUCGAUGUUGAAUUAAAUUGUCUUUCUAGUGCAGCAGCUAGAUAAGAAAGUCUGUUCGACUUUUAAAAAUUUACAUGAUUUGAGUUCAGACCGGCGUAAGCCAGGUCGGUUUCUAUCUCCUGAAAGAAUAAAAAUUAUUUUAGUACGAAAGGAUUUAAUAAUUGAAAGUUUUUUAUAACAUGAAAU
RNAcentral lists this ribosomal RNA (631 nucleotides) under Pirimela denticulata. RNAcentral describes it as "partial 16S ribosomal RNA". It matches the Rfam family "Bacterial large subunit ribosomal RNA", at positions 1832 to 2724 of the family's 2925-position model. Lineage: Eukaryota; Metazoa; Arthropoda; Malacostraca; Decapoda; Pirimelidae. The record is from RNAcentral.